RNAcentral lists this non-coding RNA (115 nucleotides) under Frankia alni. Its description in RNAcentral is "SAM-IV sequence". It matches the Rfam family "SAM (S-adenosyl methionine) riboswitch aptamer". Rfam says of the family: SAM-IV is a mRNA element that regulates gene expression via direct sensing of S-adenosylmethionine (SAM or AdoMet). SAM-IV riboswitches share conserved nucleotide positions with the previously described SAM-I riboswitches sequence analysis and molecular recognition experiments suggest that SAM-I and SAM-IV riboswitches share similar ligand binding sites, but have different scaffolds. RNAcentral also lists the same sequence under 1 other name. Lineage: Bacteria; Bacillati; Actinomycetota; Actinomycetes; Frankiales; Frankiaceae. The record is from RNAcentral.
CGUCUUGAGUGCCAGCGUUCAGCCCCGGCUUGCUGGCCGGCAACCCUCCUUAUGCAGCGGGGUGCCCCGGGUGGUGACGAGGCCGCGGCAACCCCGCCGACGGCAAGUGCCGACC